GUGGGGAAUCUUGCGCAAUGGGCGAAAGCCUGAUCCAGCCAUGCCGCGUGAGUGAUGAAGGCCCUAGGGUUGUAAAGCUCUUUCACCGAUGAAGAUAAUGACGGUAGUCGGAGAAGAAGCCCCGGCUAACUUCGUGCCAGCAGCCGCGGUAAUACGAAGGGGGCUAGCGUUGUUCGGAAUUACUGGGCGUAAAGCGCACGUAGGCGGAUAUUUAAGUCAGGGGUGAAAUCCCAGAGCUCAACUCUGGAACUGCCUUUGAUACUGGGUAUCUCGAGUAUGGAAGAGGUGAGUGGAAUUCCGAGUGUAGAGGUGAAAUUCGUAGAUAUUCGGAGGAACACCAGUGGCGAAGGCGGCUCACUGGUCCAUUACUGACGCUGAGGUGCGAAAGCGUGGGGAGCAAACAGGAUUAGAAACCCUAGUAGUCC
RNAcentral lists this ribosomal RNA (425 nucleotides) under uncultured bacterium. RNAcentral's name for it is "partial 16S ribosomal RNA". It matches the Rfam family "Bacterial small subunit ribosomal RNA", at positions 354 to 796 of the family's 1533-position model. The record is from RNAcentral.